RNAcentral lists this long non-coding RNA (1479 nucleotides) under Chinchilla lanigera (long-tailed chinchilla). RNAcentral describes it as "lncRNA (ENSCLAG00000028058.1)". Lineage: Eukaryota; Metazoa; Chordata; Mammalia; Rodentia; Chinchillidae. The record is from RNAcentral.
UUCGUGUUUUAGUAUUUUUGUUUCAACAGUGCCCUAGAAAUAGUAGUCUUUGGGCAUCACAUCAUGUUUCCCCUUAGGCAGGUCCAGUGGGAGGGAAUAUGGACAGCGGAAAGAUCAGAGAGUCAGGAGACUAGAUUUUAUCUUUCACAAGUUCUUUUAAUAAUAAAGUGCUGGAACUUUAGGUAAUUGGCUGCGCUUCUGACUUUACCCUCCCUAUGUGUAACGUACUGGGUGAUAACCUGGCUUUCUAUCAUUUAUCUUUCCAGAGCCUCCAGACCAGCAGUUGGGCUUUCCCAGGCCAUUCUGGAGUCCCUGGGGAAGAGACAGGCUGCAGCUCAGGUGACCACGGCUGCCUAACAACUAUGGAGAAAGGAGGUCUUCACAGGGGUAGGCCUGUGAAAUGCAGUGACAGAUUGGAUUUGGACUAUCUCACAUGACAAGAAGUCGGAACUGUCAUGAGAAGAAGGGAACAAAAAGAUAUUUAAUAACCUGAAGAGUGCACUGUGGCGGAGAAGGCUACCUGCCACCUGGAUAUUUCACCUUAAGCUUCCCAACCUGAGACACUGGCCAGCAAUUGUCCUUCUUGUAACAUCUUUCUGAACUUUUCAUGUCAAGGUUUUGGAGGCCUUAUUAUAGAAUGAAUUUGGAUUUUCCCUCUCUUCUUCUACUUCCUGGAUGUGUUUGUUUAAAUCAUUAUUGCUUGUUCUUAAAUUUUUGUGAAGUCAUCUGGGCCUAUGGUUUUUUUGUGUGUGGGAAACAUUUUAAUUUCCUUUAAAAGAAUUUCUUUGACAGAUAUAGGACUGUUGGUAUUUUUUGUUUCUUCGUGGGGCAGUUUUGGUUAAUUGUGUUUUGAGCAACUUGUGUAUUUCAAAUGACAAAUUAUUGGCAUACAUAUUGAACAAAGAAUGCUAAUUUAUUGACCUAAGCUUGGUUAUAGUAGCUUCUCACUAUCUUCUAAAUAUCUGUAGUCAGAUCCCUUUUUUAAGCCUAACUUUGGUAUUUGUGUUCUCUGUCUUGCGUGCUCCUUAAUAUGUCUUGCUGGAGUUUAUUAACCAUAUCAUUUUAUUCAAAGAACAUACUUUUGACUCUGUUGAUUUUUUAAAUUGUAUGUUUGUUUGCUAUUUCAUCAGUUUCUGGCCUUUAUUUCUCCUUUCUCCAUUUUUGGGAUUUAUUUGCUGUUCUUUUUCAGCUUUUUGAGUUGGAAAUUUAGGUCAUUGUUUUAAUGCUCUUUGUCAUGUUUUAGUAUAUAGGUGUAGACGUAAAGGUCUAAGUUUCUUUCCGGACACUGCUGUAGUAGUGUUAUCAGCCACACCACCUCCCUUCUCCUGCUGGUCUACUAGUGAAAGACUCCUCAAUGGCAGAAAUGCAGGCUGGGACCUGUGAAACUCUGAGUCACUGGGACAGAGCCCUGGAGGGGAGCUGCCUGACCUGCCUUGGCUUGUGAUAUGAGCAAAGAAAUAUAGCUUUGGUACAUUGGAU